RNAcentral lists this ribosomal RNA (1474 nucleotides) under human gut metagenome. RNAcentral's name for it is "bacterial LSU rRNA". It matches the Rfam family "Bacterial large subunit ribosomal RNA", at positions 847 to 2308 of the family's 2925-position model. The record is from RNAcentral.
AGCUGGUUCUCCCCGAAAUAGCUUUAGGGCUAGCCUCAGGGUAAAGAUUGCAGGCGGUAGAGCACUGAUCAGGAGAGGGACCUACCCGGUUACCAAACCCAGUCAAACUACGAAUGGCUGCAAUUAUACCUGGGAGUCAGACUACGACUUAUAAGGGCCGUGGUCAAAAGGGAAACAGCCCAGAUCAUCAGCUAAGGUCCCAAAUGCCGUGCUAAGUGGCGAAGGAUGUGGCGUUUCAUAAACAACCAGGAUGUUGGCUCAGAAGCAGCCACCAUUUAAAGAGUGCGUAAUAGCUCACUGGUCGAGAGACGCUGCGCCGAAAAUGUCCGGGGCUCAAGCACGGAACCGAAGCUAUGGCAUUGCGUAAGCAAUGGGUAGGGGAGCGUUCUUAUGGGGAAGAAGCAUUACCGUAAGGAGAUGUGGACACAUAAGAAGUGAGAAUGCCGGUAUGAGUAUCGAAAAGAAAGGUGAGAAUCCUUUCCACCGAAAGCCCGAGGGUUCCUGAGCAACGAUCGUCGUCUCAGGGUAAGUCGGGACCUAAGCCGAGGCACAGACGCAUAGGCGAUGGACAACAGGUUGAAAUUCCUGUACCGGAUGGAGUCAUUUGAGCAAUGGAGUGACGCAGGAGGGCACAUGAUCGCGCGACUGGAAGAGCGCGUCCAAGUGCGUAUGUUGAAUCGGAGGCAAAUCCCCGAUUCUGAAAGCAGAGACAUGAUGGGGAGUUAUAAGCGAUUAUGACGAACUCAUGGAUCCCACACUGCCAAGAAAAACUUCUAGCGAGACGAAAUCCGCCCGUACCGUAAACCGACACAGGUAGGCGGGGAGAGAAUCCUAAGGUGCGCGGGAAAACCCUCGUUAAGGAACUCGGCAAAUUGCAUCCGUAACUUCGGGAGAAGGAUGGCCCUGAGUAGGCGAAGUGCAGAAACGCACGGAACAGAAAAGGGUGGCAGAAAAGAGGCCCAAGCAACUGUUUACCAAAAACACAGGUGCCUGCGAAAGCGAAAGCUGAAGUAUAGGUGCUGACGCCUGCCCGGUGCUGGAAGGUUAAGGAGAGAGGUUAGCGCAAGCGAAGCUUUGAACUGAAGCCCCAGUGAACGGCGGCCGUAACUAUAACGGUCCUAAGGUAGCGAAAUUCCUUGUCGGGUAAGUUCCGACCCGCAUGAAAGGCGUAAUGAUUUGGGCGCUGUCUCAACGAGGGGCCCGGUGAAAUUGAAAUACCUGUGAAGAUGCAGGUUACCCGCGACUGGACAGAAAGACCCCAUGGAGCUUUACUGCAGCUUGAGAUUGAAUCCCGGUGGCAGACGCACAGGAUAGGUGGGAGGCUUUGAGAUAGUGACUUUGGUUGCUAUGGAGCCGACGUUGGGAUACCACCCUUCUGUUGCUGGGAUUCUAACGCGAAGAUUAACAACCUUGCGGACCAUCUCAGGUAGGCGGUUUGACUGGGGCGGUCGCCUCCGAAAGAGUAACGGAGGCG